ACGUAGGUGGCAAGCGUUGUCCGGAAUUACUGGGUGUAAAGGGAGCGCAGGCGGGUUUGCAAGUUGGAUGUCUAAUCGAGGGGCUCAACCCCUUUCCGCAUUCAAAACUGCAGAUCUUGAGUGGUGCAGAGGUAGGCGGAAUUCCCGGUGUAGCGGUGGAAUGCGUAGAUAUCGGGAGGAACACCAGUGGCGAAGGCGGCCUACUGGGCACUAACUGACGCUGAGGCUCGAAAGCAUGGGUAGCAAACAGGAUUAGAUACCCUGGUAGUCCAUGCCGUAAACGAUGAUUACUAGGUGUGGGGGGAUUGACCCCCUCCGUGCCGCAGUUAACACAAUAAGUAAUCCACCUGGGGAGUACGACCGCAAGGUUG
This 371-nucleotide ribosomal RNA is filed under the name uncultured bacterium. RNAcentral's name for it is "bacterial SSU rRNA". It matches the Rfam family "Bacterial small subunit ribosomal RNA", at positions 525 to 896 of the family's 1533-position model. The record is from RNAcentral.